UACGAAGGGGGCUAGCGUUGCUCGGAAUUACUGGGCGUAAAGGCGCGUAGGCGGCCAUUCAAGUUAGGUGUGAAAGCCCUGGGCUCAACCUAGGAAUUGCACUUGAUACUGUUUGGCUUGAGUUCGGGAGAGGUGAGUGGAAUUCCCAGUGUAGAGGUGAAAUUCGUAGAUAUUCGCAAGAACACCAGUGGCGAAGGCGGCUCACUGGCCCGGUACUGACGCUGAGGUGCGAAAGCGUGGGGAGCAAACAGG
Molecule: ribosomal RNA, 252 nt
Filed under: uncultured bacterium
Lineage: Bacteria
Description: partial 16S ribosomal RNA
Rfam family: Bacterial small subunit ribosomal RNA
Source: RNAcentral